CAUGGGGGAAGGUCUGUCUCUGAGCAGGAGACCAGCACCUUGGACAGAGCAGUGCUAGGGAAGGGCAGAAGGAGCUGGGGAGCUCCAGCCAAGGAAAACCCCGGGCUGUGGGCCUUGCUGCAAAGGGCUGAGUGGGUGCACAGGACCGAAGUGGAAGCAGCCCAGGGACAAAGUCUGACAAGGGGAGAGAAGGAGGGCAGGGAGGCUGCUGCUAGAGGGUCCCUGGGUUGGGACCUAGAGUAGUGGGUGGGCCUGGGUCGUUCCUCCCCUUCCACCUGGCUGAGGAGAAGCCUGGCCUGAUACAGGCUGUGGCUGGCCACUGUGACAAAGGGGCUAGACUUUGAGGCUGCAGCCAGCCACUAGAACAGGUGCAGAUAGAGGACUGCUGAUAACACCAACCACCCCCAGAAGGGGGUGAGACCAGAGCAGUGGGCACUGCCAGAGGGCAGCAUCCUGAAGAGGACGCUGCUGAGCGGGAAGCAACGUGGGUCCGGACACCAACAGGGGAGCAGAUGAUGGAUGGGACACCACUGGCAGAUGGUGCCCUGCAGAGGACAGAGCUAAUUCCCAGAUGUGCCAGCGGGAGGUGCUGCAGUGGUAUGAAGAAGAAAUUGAUCUAACAGAGAGAGAAGGAGAAACAAGUCAGAAAUAAAAAGAACUUGCAUUAUAGCCUUAGACUUCGUGCUGCUAUUCCUGCUGCUUCCUGUGCUUAUGAUACAUAUCUUCCACCUGUUGAUGGAGAAGCCCAGGGGAUAAAAUCCUGCCCUGCUGAAGUCAGGAGUUUUACCAUUCACUUUACUGGGCCCAAGAUUUCACCCAAGAUGUCUGACAGCACUUUAGGCAGAAGUCUUGUACUAAUGGCUCACUAUUUGGAGAGACACUGACUGAACCAACCAUCAGUACACAAGUGGUUUCACUCCACAGAGAUUCUCAUAGGCAAGAGUCAUGCUGAAAAGGGCAGAAGAGCAUCAAACUAGUACAGACAGUACUGGAAGCUUGAAACCUGGGAACAGAAAUAAAAGGAACUGCAAGCCGUACAGUUUCCCAGAAAUUAGAAGAUUGCACUGUGAGGUCCUCUGUGAAACCAUGUUCUAAAUUACUUUUUUCCACUGCCUACCAUGAUGGGGCCUUGGUCCUGAUGAGGGCCUCUUUGGGUCUACCAUAAUUAAC
Mauremys reevesii (Reeves's turtle) is the source of this 1170-nucleotide long non-coding RNA. RefSeq lists it as uncharacterized. The record is from RefSeq and is a predicted model, not a curated record. NCBI's taxonomy places the organism in Eukaryota, Metazoa, Chordata, Testudines, Geoemydidae. The transcript is spliced from 5 exons.